UUUAGAGUUUGGAUCCUGGGUCCAAGACGAACCCUGGGCGCCAUGCCUUAAUACAUGCAAGUCGAACGCUGAAGCACUCUGCUGCCAGAGUGCGGAUGAGUGGCGAACGGGUGAGUAACACGUGGGAAAUCUGCCUAGGAGUGGGGGAUAACAUUCGGAAACGGAUGCUAAUACCGCAUAUCUUUUNGAACCGCAUGGUUCUUAAACGAAAGACGGCUUCGGCUGUCGCUCUUAGAUGAUCCCGCGGCGUAUUAGUUAGUUGGUGGGGUAAAGGCCUACCAAGACCAUGAUACGUAGCCGACCUGAGAGGGUGAUCGGCCACACUGGGACUGAGACACGGCCCAGACUCCUACGGGAGGCAGCAGUAGGGAAUCUUCCACAAUGGGUGAAAACCUGAUGGAGCAAUGCCGCGUGAAUGAAGAAGGUCUUCGGAUCGUAAAGUUCUGUUAUUAGAGAAGAACAAGUCAAGGAGUAACUGUCUUGACUUUGACGGUACCUAACCAGAAAGUCACGGCUAACUACGUGCCAGCAGCCGCGGUAAUACGUAGGUGACAAGCGUUGUCCGGAAUUAUUGGGCGUAAAGGGAGCGCAGGCGGUUGGAAUAGUCUGAUGUGAAAGCCCACGGCUUAACCGUGGAAGGUCAUUGGAAACUGUCCAACUUGGAUACAGAAGAGGUAAGUGGAAUUCCAAGUGUAGCGGUGAAAUGCGUAGAUAUUUGGAGGAACACCAGUGGCGAAGGCGACUUACUGGUCUGUAAUUGACGCUGAGGCUCGAAAGCGUGGGUAGCAAACAGGAUUAGAUACCCUGGUAGUCCACGCCGUAAACGAUGAGUGCUAAGUGUUAGGGGGUUUCCGCCCCUUAGUGCUGGAGUUAACGCAU
Molecule: ribosomal RNA, 879 nt
Filed under: uncultured bacterium
Lineage: Bacteria
Description: bacterial SSU rRNA
Rfam family: Bacterial small subunit ribosomal RNA
Source: RNAcentral